AGAGUUUGAUCCUGGCUCAGAACGAACGCUGGCGGCAUGCCUAACACAUGCAAGUCGAACGCCAUCCUCUGGAUGGAGUGGCGCACGGGUGAGUAACGCGUGGGAACCUGCCUUUUUCUGCGGGACAACGAUUGGAAACGAUCGCUAAUACCGCAUACGCCCUACGGGGGAAAGGUCCGCCGGAGAGAGAGGGGCCCGCGUUUGAUUAGCUAGUUGGUGGGGUAAUGGCUCACCAAGGCGACGAUCAAUAGCUGGUCUGAGAGGAUGAUCAGCCACACUGGGACUGAGACACGGCCCAGACUCCUACGGGAGGCAGCAGUGGGGAAUAUUGGACAAUGGGGGCAACCCUGAUCCAGCAAUGCCGCGUGUGUGAUGAAGGCCUUAGGGUUGUAAAGCACUUUCACUGGCGAAGAUGAUGACGGUAACCAGAGAAGAAGCCCCGGCUAACUUCGUGCCAGCAGCCGCGGUAAUACGAAGGGGGCGAGCGUUGUUCGGAAUUACUGGGCGUAAAGGGCGUGUAGGCGGCUCUUUAAGUUAGGCGUGAAAGCCCCGGGCUCAACCCGGGAACUG
This 570-nucleotide ribosomal RNA is filed under the name uncultured Alphaproteobacteria bacterium. RNAcentral's name for it is "bacterial SSU rRNA". It matches the Rfam family "Bacterial small subunit ribosomal RNA", at positions 8 to 623 of the family's 1533-position model. The record is from RNAcentral. Lineage: Bacteria; Pseudomonadati; Pseudomonadota; Alphaproteobacteria.